Molecule: long non-coding RNA, 771 nt
Organism: Pseudopipra pipra
Lineage: Eukaryota; Metazoa; Chordata; Aves; Passeriformes; Pipridae
Exons: 2
Source: RefSeq, a predicted model, not a curated record
CAAACCCGCUGCUGACGAAUCCCAACGUUAUUAGUUCUUAAUUUGCUCUAUUAAUAGCCACGGGGAAGUCCAGAAUGUCCAUGGCAAAGGGUGUGACCGUAGAUUCCCGUUUCGCGGCCAGGAACGAUAGUUUUGUGUAACCAACCCCUGAUGAAACCUUUCCGGCUGCCCGGAGUUCCCCAGAAGGCAGUGAGGGCUAUAAGAGCAGAACCCAGGCAUGGUAAGGGCAGAAAGCCAUGGUGCCUGGAGCGAGCCCUGCACACACCGAGCCCAUACCGCCAGUCAUGAUGGACAGCUCUUCCUCUACCGUAGCAGAUACGAGCAGUGGACUUGUCUACUCGGUCUGCUUCCAUGGGUAGAGCCCACAGCCCAGCUGGGAGAUCAAGGACUGAGACCUCGCUGAGGCUUCCCCCUCUCUCCCUGUUGCAUCAUUUCCCUCCACCCACUAGAAGAAGCUGCAGCACGGAGGAGGCCCAACCUUAGCCCUGCUUGGGGAGGAAGCAGGAGGGAGACAGCCUUGGCGAGAGUUGUCAGCAACACUAUCUGCUUUCCAGUUGGAGUGUGACACUUCUGCUGGCAAGGAAGAGGAGCUCUGCUCUUCCCCUUCCCGCAGGAGUGUUUCAUGGUUGGGAGGUACCAAAUAACUCCCGUAAAAUGCUGUCCCAGGUGUGCUGUGCUUCGCACUGCCAACAGGACAGGAAUUUUGGUAUUUCUGCAAAAACCUUACUGUCUGUCUUGCCCAAAACAACAAAAUAAACCAUGCCAAGUCUA